UGAUUUCUUUUCUAAAAUAUGCAUUUUCUGUUCUAAUUUACUUUCUAAUUCUUUUUUUACAAGAUUUUCAAGUUGUUCAUCUGUUAUAUUAACAUGGUCAUAUUCGUUAUAAAGUUCUUCUGCUUCUGCAUUUUCGUCAUCGCGCAGAAUUUCUUCGAGUUCAUCAUCACAGCUAUCUUUACUAUCGCUCUCGUCGCUGUCACCACUUCCAUUGUCACUGUCACUGUCAUCACUUUCUUUGUCACUGUCACCACUUUUAUUGUCGCUGGCACCACUACCAUUGUCAUCACUGUCAUUGUCACCACUACCAUUGUCACCAUUACUUUUACCAUUUCCUAUAUCCCCAUUUUCUAACUUUUGUUUUUUAUUUUUUUUUUUUUAUCUUUCCCAUUUUUAUCAACCGAAGCGGUACUCUUCCUUUUUUUAUUUUUUACAACAUCAUCAUCAACGUCACUCUUAUCACUAACAUUACUUGUAUCUUCAUCUUUAUCUUCAUCUUCAUCUUUAUCUUCAUCUUUAUCUUCAUCUUUAUCUUCAUCUUCAUCUUUAUCUUUAUCUUCAUCUUUAUCUUCAUCUUUAUCUUUAUCUUUAUCUUUAUCUUCAUCUUUAUCCUCCGAGUUGCUACCGCUAUCGUUGUUGUCGCUAUCACGGUCAUUGUCGACUCCGCGACUGUUUCUACCCUUAUGAAAAGAUCUUCUGAGCAUCUUGUCACAUUUUCUACUUUCCUGUAUAAUACUAUUAGACUGUUCAAUGCAAUCCAUAAAUUCCACAAUUUUUGUAUCAUAAUGGACAUUUUUUUACAUUCAAUUGUUGUAGUUCUUUUUCAUUAUGUUCAAUUCGAUAGUCUAGAUCUACAUUUUCUAUAUCUUUUUUAGAUAUAUCUUCAUCAAUAAUUUUUUUUUUUUUCUAAUUUCUUCAAUUUUAUCUUGUAUUUCAGUUAAUGAUGUAUUUAAUUUUUCAAUUUUUUCAUAUACAUCACAACCUUUUGUUUCAAUAACUUUUAAUUCUUCUUCUAAUUCUUUU
This 1023-nucleotide long non-coding RNA is filed under the name Piliocolobus tephrosceles (Ugandan red Colobus). Its description in RNAcentral is "lncRNA (ENSPTEG00000003987.1)". The record is from RNAcentral. Lineage: Eukaryota; Metazoa; Chordata; Mammalia; Primates; Cercopithecidae.